This is a long non-coding RNA of Myzus persicae (green peach aphid), 839 nucleotides long. RefSeq lists it as uncharacterized. The transcript is spliced from 4 exons. The record is from RefSeq and is a predicted model, not a curated record. NCBI's taxonomy places the organism in Eukaryota, Metazoa, Arthropoda, Insecta, Hemiptera, Aphididae.
GGAAGAUGGAUUUUCGGGUCCACUAGACAGUCAAGGAUCCACAGAUGCAAGUACAAGACUACAGAGUCCGGUCUAUAACAAAAUACCCAAGCCCAGAGACUCCAUAGCGAAGUUCUAAUGGGCAAAUUCAUGUCAAUGCACACGUACACCGACAAUAUUAUGAAUAUGUCGUAAGCGGUAUGUCGAAUAUGGUUCAAAUUCGAGGAUUCUAUUCAAAAACAAAAAUGCAGAUUAAUUCUUAAUAAAAGAACACCCAGGUUUUGAGAGUCUGCAUAUGCGCUCUCUACCCUCUAAUUUGGUUAUGAAGUCAACCUGGUUGCGUCCGAAUAUUACUCCAGAUCACGAAUUAAGAUAUACAGGAUGCCGAACGACAGCCUGUUAUCAGUAUUUCUGUGAAGUCGAAAGUUUCCAGGUUCCCAAAUUAACUUAUGGCGCUGAAAUGGUUACGGUGGCGAAAUUCUUAACUAAUUUUGUAUAAUUACGACUAUCAAGUAUCAUAAUAAACAUAAUCACAUAAGUAAAAUCAUGAGUAAAAUAUUAAUUAUUAAGAUGGUAUACAAGACAUAUUUCUCAACAAAUGAAUAAUAUUAUAAUAGGUACAAUAAAAGUUUUCUUUGAUAUAAUAAUAAUUCAUUUGAUAGUGCUUUUUGUUUUGUGAUUAGUCAUGUAUGCAUAUUGUCUCAUCCUCAUUGCAAUAUAUGAUGUAAAUAUAAAUUCAACCAUAUCUUCUUUGUGGAUUGCACACGGAAAAGGAACCAGGUAAUUAUUAUUAAAAAAUUCUUCAACUGUGUCGUCAAACACAUUUUGACUGUCUUUGUGUUUGACAAAACACUUCUCAA